CACAUCUAAGGAAGGCAGCAGGCGCGCAAAUUACCCAAUCCUGACUCAGGGAGGUAGUGACAAGAAAUAACAAUAAACCGGCUUAUGCCGGUUUAAUUGGAAUGAGUACAAUUUAAACAUCUUAACGAGGAACAAUUGGAGGGCAAGUCUGGUGCCAGCAGCCGCGGUAAUUCCAGCUCCAAUAGCGUAUACUAAAGUUGUUGCAGUUAAAAAGCUCGUAGUUGGAUUUCUGUGGGGACGGAGCGGCCGGCCGCACAUCGCGGUUCGAGCUAGCGCUUUCCCUACAUCCUGCCGCGAACCGUGCUACCAUUAGUUUGGUGGCGCCGGGGAUCGGCUCGAUUACUUUGAGAAAAAUAGAGUGUUCAAAGCAGGCCACAUGCCUUGAAUAAGUUAGCAUGGAAUAAUAACUAAGGACUUCGGUUCUAUUUUGUUGGUGUUCGGGACUGAAGUAAUGAUUGAUAGGGACAGUUGGGGCGGUCUGUAUUCCAAAGCGAGAGGUGAAAUUCUUAGACCUUCGGAAGACAAACAGCUGCGAAAGCGUUCCGCAAGGAUGUUCCCUUUGAUCAAGAACGAAAGUUGGGGGAUCGAAGACGAUCAGAUACCGUCGUAGUCUCAACUAUAAACUAUACCAGCUAGGGAUCGGCCAACGUUAUUUUAUACCGACUUGGUCGGCACCUUAUGAGAAAUCAAAGCAUCUGGGUUCCGGGGGGAGUAUGUCGCAAGGCUGAAACUUAAAGGAAUUGACGGAAGGGCACCACCAGCCGUGGAGCCUGUGGCUUAAUUUGACUCAACACGGGAAAACUUACCAGGUCCAGACAUAGUAAGGAUUGACAGAUUGAUAGCUCUUUCUUGAUUCUGUGGGUGGUGGUGCAUGGCCGUUCUUAGUUGGUGGAGUGAUUUGUCUGGUUAAUUCCGUUAACGAACGAGACCCCAGCCUGCUAAAUAGCGCGCGUGAGCUUUGCUCGCGGCGAGCUUCUUAGAGGGACUCUGAUGCGCGAUAGCACAUGGAAGUUUGGGGCAAUAACAGGUCUGUGAUGCCCUUAGAUGUUCUGGGCCGCACACGGGCUACACUGGCGCCUGCAACGAGCAUAUCAGCUGGCCCGAGAGGGUCUUGGCUAAUCUUUUGAACCGGCGCCGUGCUUGGGAUUGACCUUUGCAAUUGUUGGUCAUGCAACGAGGAAUGCCUUGUAAACGCGAGUCAUCAGCUCGCAUUGAAUACGUCCCUGCCCUUUGUACACACCGCCCGUCGCUCCUACCGAUGAAUGUUCCGAUGAAAUUUUCGGAGAGCACCUGUGAACUUGGCUCUGCCUUGCGAACGGGAGGCUCAAAGUCACUUAAAUCUGAACAUUUCGAGG
This 1355-nucleotide ribosomal RNA is filed under the name uncultured marine eukaryote. RNAcentral's name for it is "SSU rRNA". It matches the Rfam family "Eukaryotic small subunit ribosomal RNA", at positions 411 to 1779 of the family's 1831-position model. The record is from RNAcentral.